CCUACGGGAGGCAGCAGUGAGGAAUAUUGGUCAAUGGACGAGAGCCUGAACCAGCCAAGUAGCGUGAAGGAUGACUGCCCUACGGGUUGUAAACUUCUUUUAUAAGGGAAUAAAGUGAUCCACGUGUGGCAUUUUGUAUGUACCAUAUGAAUAAGGAUCGGCUAACUCCGUGCCAGCAGCCGCGGUAAUACGGAGGAUCCGAGCGUUAUCCGGAUUUAUUGGGUUUAAAGGGAGCGUAGGUGGGUUGUUAAGUCAGUUGUGAAAGUUUGCGGCUCAACCGUAAAAUUGCAGUUGAUACUGGCAGUCUUGAGUACAGUAGAGGUAGGCGGAAUUCGUGGUGUAGCGGUGAAAUGCUUAGAUAUCACGAAGAACUCCGAUUGCGAAGGCAGCUCACUAAACUGCCACUGACACUGAUGCUCGAAAGUGUGGGUAUCAAACAGGAUUAGAUACCCGAGUAGUC
RNAcentral lists this ribosomal RNA (460 nucleotides) under uncultured bacterium. RNAcentral describes it as "partial 16S ribosomal RNA". It matches the Rfam family "Bacterial small subunit ribosomal RNA", at positions 338 to 795 of the family's 1533-position model. The record is from RNAcentral.